UACAGAGGGUGCAAGCGUUAAUCGGAGUUACUGGGCGUAAAGGGCGCGUAGGCGGUUAGAUAAGUGAGUUGUGAAAGCCCCGGGCUUAACCUGGGAAUUGCAACUUAGACUAUGUAACUGGAGUGCAGUAGAGGGUGGUGGAAUUUCCGGUGUAGCGGUGAAAUGCGUAGAGAUCGGAAGGAACAUCAGUGGCGAAGGCGACCACCUGGACUGAGACUGACGCUGAGGCGCGAGAGCGUGGGGAGCAAACAGG
Molecule: ribosomal RNA, 253 nt
Filed under: uncultured bacterium
Lineage: Bacteria
Description: partial 16S ribosomal RNA
Rfam family: Bacterial small subunit ribosomal RNA
Source: RNAcentral